AGGGCACCACCAGGAGUGGAGCCUGCGGCUUAAUUUGACUCAACACGGGAAAACUCACCUGGCCCGGACACCGUGAGGAUUGACAGAUUGAGAGCUCUUUCUUGAUUCGGUGGUUGGUGGUGCAUGGCCGUUCUUAGUUGGUGGAGUGAUUUGUCUGGUUUAUUCCGAUAACGAGCGAGACUCUAGCCUACUAAAUAGUUACUGGAUAAUUGCGUCCAGAAGACUUCUUAGAGGGACAAGCGGUGUUCAGCCGCACGAAGCUGAGCAAUAACAGGUCUGUGAUGCCCUUAGAUGUCCAGGGCUGCACGCGCGCUACACUGGAGGAAUCAGCGUGCUGUAACCAUUGCCGAAAGGCAUUGGUAACCCCUUGAAAAUCCUCCGUGAUCGGGAUCGGGAAUUGCAAUUAUUUCCCUUGAACGAGGAAUUCCCAGUAAGUGUGAGUCAUCAGCUCACGUUGAUUACGUCCCUGCCCUUUGUACACACCGCCCGUCGCUGCCCGGGACUGAGCCGUUUCGAGAA
RNAcentral lists this ribosomal RNA (519 nucleotides) under uncultured eukaryote. RNAcentral describes it as "SSU rRNA". It matches the Rfam family "Eukaryotic small subunit ribosomal RNA", at positions 1161 to 1705 of the family's 1831-position model. The record is from RNAcentral.